GAUGAACGCUGGCGGCGUGCCUAAUACAUGCAAGUCGAGCGAACAGACGAGGAGUUUGCUCCUCUGACGUUAGCGGCGGACGGGUGAGUAACAUGUGGAUAACCUACCUAUAAGACUGGGAUAACUUCGGGAAACCGGAGCUAAUACCGGAUAAUAUAUUGAACCGCAUGGUUCAAUAGUGAAAGACGGUUUUGCUGUAACUUAUAGAUGGAUCCGCGCCGCAUUAGCUAGUUGGUAAGGUAACGGCUUACCAAGGCAACGAUGCGUAGCCGACCUGAGAGAGGGGUCGGCCACACUGGAACUGAGACACGGUCCAGACUCCUACGGGAGGCAGCAGUAGGGAAUCUUCCGCAAUGGGCGAAAGCCUGACGGAGCAAGGCCGCGUGAGUGAUGAAGGUCUUCGGAGCGUGAAACUCUGUUAUUAGGGAAGAACAAAUGUGUAAGUAACUAUGCACGUCUUGACGGUACCUGAUCAGAAAGCCACGGCUAACUACGUG
RNAcentral lists this ribosomal RNA (497 nucleotides) under uncultured bacterium. RNAcentral describes it as "partial 16S ribosomal RNA". It matches the Rfam family "Bacterial small subunit ribosomal RNA", at positions 28 to 507 of the family's 1533-position model. The record is from RNAcentral.